CACAAACCCAUGGACUGCCUUUAGCUCUUUGCUGGUCUGUGAUCAGAAGUGCCACUGCAAGGAGAGGCAAAGAUCUCUCUCACCUGAAGUCCUUUGUCAUCAAUGGAAUUUGCACAAGGACCCACACCUACCUGCAAGGGCAGGUAACUCAAAGCUGUCAUAGCUAUGGCAACCACCUGGGCUGAGAUGGUUUGAAGGGAAUAUGGCUUUUUCCUGCAGAACAGACCAUUAUCAGGACCAGAAGAACUGAAAUUCCUUUGCUGGGGAGCCCUGGAAGAAUGAGAUAGAAGCUUCAUUUUUUAGGUCCAGGAAGCUGUUUUCUCUGCUGAUUAAGUAGGAGACUGCAUUUAGAAGUUUUGAUUUCUAACCCCAUCUUUCUAACAAAGUGGUUUUAAUAAGUAUUUUUGUACUCUGUAUUUCAGGUCCUAAAAAAAAAAAAAAAAAAAAAAAAAAAAAAAAAAAAAAGAAAAAGUGUUGUGACUUCUGUUAAGAAAUUUGUGAAUCUCAGAGAGGAAAAAACUCUGCCUAAGUACAAUGUAAACAGCUCAAUCUGAAGAGAUCUGAGACCUGGCAUCUCCUAAGUUACUCUUUGAAGUGUUGCAGUAGAACCUCUCCUUGGGCAGGUAGCUGUCCAUACCUAUCCUCACCCAAUAUUCUUGCUCCCUUUCUCUCCCUAUUGAGAACCAGAACUUACAAAAUCAGUUUCCUUAGGAGUGUUUUGAUGCUUUCACUACUUGUCAAAAUCAGGAAGUAUAAACCACACAGAAUUUUUUUUUUUUUUUUUUACAGCAAGAUAUCUGUGGAAAUUUGGAACAGGCUCCUACAUUAGCUCCUCCUCUAGAGUAUAACAGGUUUGUGCCACAGUUGUGACGAGGUUUAUGCCUGUGAGCUGUCUGAAAAAUUUAGAGGAUUGUUGUAUGUUAUGGGAUUCAGGUGAUCAUGAUAAACCUUUAGGAACACAAGCAGGUGCAGCAUAUCACAGGGGGGAAUCUGUUUCUUGGCUGUGCUAUUCUCACUGCACACCAGCAUGUCACUGGGAAGGACCCAAAUUCAGACUUCAGGCCUCAACUUUGCAUGUUGGAAAGUGAGGGAAAAAUAACUUCCCUAAACAGAAAUGAGAUCCAAUCUGCAGGAUAAAGUCCAAGGAUGGAUUGUGCCUCUUUUCCCAUGCCUCUACCCAGAGACCUCUGAUACCCAAAAGCUGAGCACAGCCAUCUAUCUACAGGAUCAUGGGCUCCUUUUGUAGAAAUGAAUAAAGGAAGCCCAACUAAAAGGACCCA
Molecule: long non-coding RNA, 1280 nt
Filed under: Cyanistes caeruleus (blue tit)
Lineage: Eukaryota; Metazoa; Chordata; Aves; Passeriformes; Paridae
Description: lncRNA (ENSCCEG00000015522.1)
Source: RNAcentral